CAAUAGCGUAUAUUAAAGUUGUUGCAGUUAAAAAGCUCGUAGUUGGAUUUCUGGCAGGAGGAGCCGGUCACACACUCUGUGCGUGAACUCGUGCUGUCUCUGGCCAUCCUCGGGGAGAUCCUGUUUGGCAUUAAGUUGUCGGGCAGGGGAUACCCGUCGUUUACUGUGAAAAAUUAGAGUGUUUAAAGCAGGCUUAUGCCGUUGAAUAUAUUAGCAUGGAAUAAUAAGAUAGGACUUCGGAACUAUUUUGUUGGUUUGCGUUACGAAGUAAUGAUUAAUAGGGACAGUUGGGGGUAUUUGUAUUCCAUUGUCAGAGGUGAAAUUCUUGGAUUCGCUCAAGACUAACUUAUGCGAAAGCAUUCACCAAGGAUGUCUUCUUUAAUCAAGAACGAAAGUUGGGGGAUCAAAGAUGAUUAGAUACCAU
This 424-nucleotide ribosomal RNA is filed under the name uncultured eukaryote. Its description in RNAcentral is "SSU rRNA". It matches the Rfam family "Eukaryotic small subunit ribosomal RNA", at positions 592 to 1018 of the family's 1831-position model. The record is from RNAcentral.